GCGGGUAAGGUGUUUACGGAUACAUGCUAGCCUUCCAAGCUUGAGUAGACCGGUUCGAUACCGGCUACCCGCUCCA
RNAcentral lists this transfer RNA (76 nucleotides) under Aeromonas phage 44RR2.8t. Its description in RNAcentral is "tRNA-Gly". It matches the Rfam family "tRNA". From Rfam's summary of the family: Transfer RNA (tRNA) molecules are approximately 80 nucleotides in length. The record is from RNAcentral. RNAcentral also lists the same sequence under 2 other names. Lineage: Duplodnaviria; Heunggongvirae; Uroviricota; Caudoviricetes; Pantevenvirales; Straboviridae.